GUGGGGAAUCUUGCGCAAUGGGGGAAACCCUGACGCAGCAACGCCGCGUGGGUGAUGAAGGCCUUCGGGUCGUAAAGCCCUGUCAGGUGGAAAGAACCGUGUCGGUACGAACAAUACCGACGCUUGACGGUACCACCGGAGGAAGCACCGGCUAACUCCGUGCCAGCAGCCGCGGUAAUACGGAGGGUGCAAGCGUUGUUCGGAAUUACUGGGCGUAAAGCGCGUGUAGGCGGUCAGGCAAGUCAGAUGUGAAAGCCUUUCGCUUAACGGAAGAAUUGCAUUUGAAACUACCUGGCUGGAGUUCGGGAGAGGAGAGUGGAAUUCCCGGUGUAGAGGUGAAAUUCGUAGAUAUCGGGAGGAACACCGGUGGCGAAGGCGGCUCUCUGGUCCGAUACUGACGCUGAGACGCGAAAGCGUGGGGAGCAAACAGGAUUAGAAACCCGAGUAGUCC
This 451-nucleotide ribosomal RNA is filed under the name uncultured bacterium. Its description in RNAcentral is "bacterial SSU rRNA". It matches the Rfam family "Bacterial small subunit ribosomal RNA", at positions 354 to 796 of the family's 1533-position model. The record is from RNAcentral.